Molecule: ribosomal RNA, 253 nt
Filed under: uncultured bacterium
Lineage: Bacteria
Description: partial 16S ribosomal RNA
Rfam family: Bacterial small subunit ribosomal RNA
Source: RNAcentral
UACGUAGGGGGCAAGCGUUAUCCGGAAUUACUGGGUGUAAAGGGAGCGUAGACGGUGAUGUAAGUCUGGAGUGAAAGGCGGGGGCCCAACCCCCGGACUGCUCUGGAAACUAUGUGACUGGAGUGCAGGAGAGGUGAGCGGAAUUCCUAGUGUAGCGGUGGAAUGCGUAGAUAUUAGGAGGAACACCAGUGGCGAAGGCGGCUCACUGGACUGUAACUGACGUUGAGGCUCGAAAGCGUGGGGAGCAAACAGG